RNAcentral lists this ribosomal RNA (451 nucleotides) under uncultured bacterium. RNAcentral describes it as "bacterial SSU rRNA". It matches the Rfam family "Bacterial small subunit ribosomal RNA", at positions 354 to 796 of the family's 1533-position model. The record is from RNAcentral.
GUCGAGAAUCUUUCGCAAUGGGGGAAACCCUGACGAAGCGACGCCGCGUGCAGGAUGAAGGCCUUCGGGUUGUAAACUGCUGUCAGCUGGGAAGAAUAAGUCUGUUGCGAAUAACAACAGGCCUUGACGGUACCAGCAGAGGAAGCCACGGCUAACUCUGUGCCAGCAGCCGCGGUAAGACAGAGGUGGCAAGCGUUGUUCGGAUUUAUUGGGCGUAAAGGGUCCGUAGGCGGUCUGGAAAGUCGGAUGUGAAAUCCUACAGCUUAACUGUAGAACUGCAUUCGAAACUUCCGGACUUGAGUAUGAGAGGGGUAAAGGGAAUUCCCGGUGUAAGGGUGAAAUCUGCAGAGAUCGGGAGGAACACCAGUCGCGAAGGCGCUUUACUGGCUCAUUACUGACGCUCAGGGACGAAAGCCAGGGGAGCAAACGGGAUUAGAUACCCGAGUAGUCC